Molecule: long non-coding RNA, 1450 nt
Filed under: Cyanistes caeruleus (blue tit)
Lineage: Eukaryota; Metazoa; Chordata; Aves; Passeriformes; Paridae
Description: lncRNA (ENSCCEG00000000970.1)
Source: RNAcentral
AAAGGAUUAAUGCGGUAGGUGCAUACCUUGCUGAAAUUUGCAUGCUUCCAUUGUGGGAAAGUGGGAAACAAAGGGAAAAAUCAUACCCUGAUGUGCUCUCCAAGUAGAGCUGUAUGCUGUGAUUCACUGAAGACAGCCAUGGAGGUUACAAAACAGAAAUUAAGAGACAAUAUAAAUUACGUGAGGUUGUUCUAGACAAUUAGACAACUCGUUGGUCCAUUUACAGUGCUGCUCGUAGCUUUAUAUCAAAUCUGAUGAAAGAGUGACAAAUUUCAAGCGAGGAAAUUUUUCAUUCUCUCCUCUCCUUAGGAGAGCCGUACUUUGUUUAGAGAUACCUUAAUGCGUAUCCUGAGCAUUUUAAUAAGAAACUAUUGCAUGCCACCGGUUUGUGCAAACAGUAGUUGUAUAAUUACAGGGGAUGAAUUAAUCUUCCAGGCGUCCAUUUGUGUUACUCAGAUCAGGCAGGGUUUAUUUGCAAAGGGCUGACCCUGCUUCCUGGCAGGUUCGCCCGGAGGUGGCGUGCCAGAUUCCCUCCAGUGGAUGCAGGAGGGUUCAGCUGCCACAUCCCAGGGACCAAGGGACAGGCACAUGGCAGGGGCUGCCGCCUGGGGCAACGCGGGGCAGUGACUGUGACAGCAGCAGCACCACAGCCUCCUCCAGAGAUUCUUUAGUAGGCAUUGAAGGCUGGUAGGAAACAAGUAUUCUCAAGCUUGGGUCUACAUUCUUCUGAUGCAAACAGAGAAUGAAAAUGUGUAUUUGCCUUGUCCUGGGCUCUUCAAGUAAUUCAGGCAACCUGGCUGAAUGUGCUGGAGACAGUGCUGACGUUACAGUUAUUUCAGGAAGAAGUCAAUGCUGUUCCAGCAGAGCAAACACUGGAUGGGCUCUUCACAAACAGUGGCUCCCACCUGCCAUUCCCAUCUCCCGACAUGACCAUCUCCAUGGAGGAUGUUGCCUUGGGGAUGAGCCAGGUUCAUCCUGCAGCUCCCCAGUAGCACUGUGCCAGAUCUGCCCCAUCCCUCUGAGCCACAGCAGGCCCUGAGAUCUGCUGGAAGCACUGGAGCAAAAGGUGCUCAAAAGCUGGUUUCUUCCAGGGACUGAAGAACAUUGUAAACCACAGCCCUAAAUGUUUGAUUAACCCCUAUGGGACCUGUGUGGUUUUCACAAGACAUUAACUGUAAGAGGUACAUUUCUUGCACUGUGUCUGCAGCUGGCUACUCAAUCCUAAUGAUCUGGUUUCCUAAUCUCUUACUUGAACAAAAAUAUGGCGAGGCAGAGACCAUGAGAUGCUGCUUUCACAUCUUUUUUCCAUAUGGGAUUUGGGCAGACAAUUUGCCAACAUAGUGAUGACCUGUUGCUCUUAUUUUUUUUUAUCUAUAGAAACUUGACUCUUCUAUGAAUCAGGGCAUAUCUAUAAACUGAGUGAAACCAAUAAAGGAUGUUAAGGAUACCA